Molecule: ribosomal RNA, 562 nt
Filed under: Alternaria alternata
Lineage: Eukaryota; Fungi; Ascomycota; Dothideomycetes; Pleosporales; Pleosporaceae
Description: eukaryotic LSU rRNA
Rfam family: 5.8S ribosomal RNA (bases 196-349)
Source: RNAcentral
UCCGUAGGUGAACCUGCGGAGGGAUCAUUACACAAAUAUGAAGGCGGGCUGGAACCUCUCGGGGUUACAGCCUUGCUGAAUUAUUCACCCUUGUCUUUUGCGUACUUCUUGUUUCCUUGGUGGGUUCGCCCACCACUAGGACAAACAUAAACCUUUUGUAAUUGCAAUCAGCGUCAGUAACAAAUUAAUAAUUACAACUUUCAACAACGGAUCUCUUGGUUCUGGCAUCGAUGAAGAACGCAGCGAAAUGCGAUAAGUAGUGUGAAUUGCAGAAUUCAGUGAAUCAUCGAAUCUUUGAACGCACAUUGCGCCCUUUGGUAUUCCAAAGGGCAUGCCUGUUCGAGCGUCAUUUGUACCCUCAAGCUUUGCUUGGUGUUGGGCGUCUUGUCUCUAGCUUUGCUGGAGACUCGCCUUAAAGUAAUUGGCAGCCGGCCUACUGGUUUCGGAGCGCAGCACAAGUCGCACUCUCUAUCAGCAAAGGUCUAGCAUCCAUUAAGCCUUUUUUUCAACUUUUGACCUCGGAUCAGGUAGGGAUACCCGCUGAACUUAAGCAUAUCAAUAA